RNAcentral lists this small RNA (147 nucleotides) under Nocardioides scoriae. RNAcentral describes it as "Marmoricola scoriae c-di-AMP sequence". It matches the Rfam family "c-di-AMP riboswitch aptamer (ydaO/yuaA leader)", at positions 11 to 127 of the family's 134-position model. From Rfam's summary of the family: This family represents a conserved RNA structure found upstream of the ydaO and yuaA genes in Bacillus subtilis and related genes in other bacteria. Lineage: Bacteria; Bacillati; Actinomycetota; Actinomycetes; Propionibacteriales; Nocardioidaceae. The record is from RNAcentral.
CACCGAGAACGUUCGGGCAGGAGUGGGGGAACCACACGUUCCACGCGGACGGCCCGACCAGGUCGACCGCUCGGGGUGAAGUCACCGCCAGGUGGCAGGGCACUUUCCAGCCCUAACCCGACAGCUCACCUCGCAGGCGUGGGAAAG